This 351-nucleotide ribosomal RNA is filed under the name uncultured bacterium. RNAcentral describes it as "bacterial SSU rRNA". It matches the Rfam family "Bacterial small subunit ribosomal RNA", at positions 1 to 334 of the family's 1533-position model. The record is from RNAcentral.
CACGUACUAUCUAGAGUUUGUAGUCCUCGGCGUCAGGGAUGAACGCUAGCGAUAGGCUUAACACAUGCAAGUCAGGGGUAACAUGGGAGUAGCUUGCUACUUCUGAUGACGACCGGCGGAUGGGUGAGUAACGCGUAUGCAACUAGCCUCUUAGUGGGGAAUAACCCGGAGAAAUCCGGACUAAUACCGCAUACACUUAGUUAUCCGCAUGGAUGAUUAAGGAAAGAUUUAUUGCUAAGAGAUAGGCAUGCGUUCCAUUAGUUAGUUGGUGAGGUAACGGCUCACCAAGGCAUCGAUGGAUAGGGGAGCUGAGAGGCUUAUCCCCCACAUUGGGACUGAGACACGGCCCAA